UAAUCACUUGUCAAAACAUUAGCGCUAAUCAUUAAUCUCAAAAAUUCGAACUAUUAAAAAUAAUUAAUUAAUUUACUGAAAGCAUACAGAUACAUAUUUCACAGAUCUCGAUUGUGAUUUGAUCCAACCAGUCUCACGCCAUUUCGAAUAUGACUCGACUCACUCAGUCUCAUACUAUUUCGGACAUGACUCGACCCAACAUCACCUCCCGCAAUAAGACAGAAUGCUGGCUCAUUUAAACCCACAAUAGGGCUCGGCGCAUCCGAGAGCCCACAACCCGAUAUAGUUUACGCAUUUCGAAGCGUCUGAAAAUGACACGAAUGACGAAUAGAACAGCGUCACAUUAUAAUCGUACUCGCCAACUUCUGUAUUCUGACAAUUUGUUAAAUUGUAGCUAGAUUAGGAUGGGUAUUUAAAUCUGUAUGAAAUAAAUUGAAUAGAUAUUAAUUUAAGGUGUGACCGUACGUACAAUGAUUGCAUGCACGUAGUAAUUAAUACGGGUGCAUCGUAAGAGAGUUCUCAUUUGAAUUUGGAAAAAACUUCAAAUACCACAUUUUAGUUUCACAGUUUUUUACUUUAAUACUCUAUGGUUUAAAGUUUUUAACUUUAAUACUCUAUGGUUUAAAGUGUAUAAAUUUAGUAUCCUAUGAUUUUAUUUUUAUCUCUUUAUCAUUGAUUUCAUAAAUUUUUUUCGUUAAAUCAGUAACAAAGUUAAAACUAAAGAGUACUAAAAUAAAUAUUUGAUAAACCGAGUUGAGAUAUCUAAUUAAAAUUUUUUGUAUAUAAUUUAACGAAAUAUUAACGAAAAAACUGACGAAAAGAUAAAAAUAAAAUCAUAGGACACUAACUUGAUAUACUUUAAACCAUAGGGUACUAAAGUGAGAAAGUGCAAAACUAUAUGGAUGGUAUUUGAAGUUUAUCCUUAAAUUUAUAGAAAAUGAGAAAGGAAUGGUAGAGAUUUAGUAAGAGAGGUUGUGUUGAAGUUUUUUCAUAUAGAAAAGUAGUCGAGUGUAAUUUUUUUCUUGGUUCGUGAAUUAUUUAUAUUUUUUAUUUGGUUUUUUUUUUCUUAUUUUUUUUUGUAAUCGUAUCAGGUUUUGCUAAGUAGACGGCGGGUUUAUAGUAAAAAUUCAAUUUGACGCUUCCGUUGCGGAAUUCCAACGACUGGUAAUAGAGCAAAUACUGAAUUUACAGUAAUAAAUAUCAGAGCGGAUUGGAGAUUCGUAAUAUCAAAUUCCCAACAGCAUGAACCCAAAAUUAUAACAAUUUGUCUUAAAAAACUUAAGCAAGUAUAUCUGAACUCCCUGUUUUUUUUUAAUAAAAUAUCUAAUGGAGUUUGAACAUAGAAUCUUUUGCUAUAACAUUAUGUAAAAUAAUAAUAUAGGUAAACAUGUAUAGAACUUGCUCAAACUAUGAGUCAUUCGAGCCAACUAUCAGAUUUUUUUAAAUUUUGAUUUUGCUACCGAAUCUUUCAAUUUUUUUGAUUUGAGCCCCUCAACGACAUUUGAACUUUCAAAAUUUAAAAUUCAUCAUCUAUCUUUACAUAUUUAACCCAAAUACUUCAUCCAAUUCUCGCAACUAUACGUUCAUUAAAUUAAACAAUUAGCUUAAAUUUUGAAGUAGAAGAGUCGUUGACUAACUCAAAUCAAAUAAAUUUGAAAUUGGAUAGUAAAAUCAAAAUUUUGAAUGAUAGUGUAGUCGAUUCAAAAUAAUUUAAAGUUCAAAUAAAUUUUAUACAUUUUU
Molecule: long non-coding RNA, 1740 nt
Filed under: Ananas comosus (pineapple)
Lineage: Eukaryota; Viridiplantae; Streptophyta; Magnoliopsida; Poales; Bromeliaceae
Description: long non-coding RNA (ACOM_LNC010703)
Source: RNAcentral